AGAGUUUGAUCAUGGCUCAGAUUGAACGCUGGCGGCAGGCUUAACACAUGCAAGUCGAGCGGAGAUGAGGUGCUUGCACCUUAUCUUAGCGGCGGACGGGUGAGUAAUGCUUAGGAAUCUGCCUAUUAGUGGGGGACAACAUUCCGAAAGGRAUGCUAAUACCGCAUACGUCCUACGGGAGAAAGCAGGGGAUCUUCGGACCUUGCGCUAAUAGAUGAGCCUAAGUCGGAUUAGCUAGUUGGUGGGGUAAAGGCCUACCAAGGCGACGAUCUGUAGCGGGUCUGAGAGGAUGAUCCGCCACACUGGGACUGAGACACGGCCCAGACUCCUACGGGAGGCAGCAGUGGGGAAUAUUGGACAAUGGGGGGAACCCUGAUCCAGCCAUGCCGCGUGUGUGAAGAAGGCCUUAUGGUUGUAAAGCACUUUAAGCGAGGAGGAGGCUACUGAGACUAAUACUCUUGGAUAGUGGACGUUACUCGCAGAAUAAGCACCGGCUAACUCUGUGCCAGCAGCCGCGGUAACWGAGUCAGCCAGUGAUGAUUCUAYCAAUGACU
RNAcentral lists this ribosomal RNA (554 nucleotides) under uncultured bacterium. Its description in RNAcentral is "bacterial SSU rRNA". It matches the Rfam family "Bacterial small subunit ribosomal RNA", at positions 9 to 546 of the family's 1533-position model. The record is from RNAcentral.